GUGAGUCAUCGAAUCUUUGAACGCACAUUGCACCCUCUGGUAUUCCGGAGGGUAUGCCUGUUCGAGCGUCAUUUCAACCCUCAAGCAUUGCUUGGUAUUGGAUGCUACUGCAUGCGGUGCAUCUUAAAGGCAUUGGCGACAGCAUUUAGCCUCUAGCGGAGUAAAUUUCUCGCUCUGGGGCCUGGAUAUCUGCCUGCCAGAAUCUCUUAUUUCAAUGGUUGACCUCGGAUCAGGUAGGGAUACCCGCUGAACUUAAGCAUAUCAAUAAGCGGAGGA
RNAcentral lists this unclassified non-coding RNA (276 nucleotides) under Helotiales sp. RNAcentral describes it as "partial contains 5.8S ribosomal RNA, internal transcribed spacer 2, and large subunit ribosomal RNA". The stretch from base 1 to 71 matches the Rfam family "5.8S ribosomal RNA", at positions 84 to 154 of the family's 154-position model. The record is from RNAcentral. Lineage: Eukaryota; Fungi; Ascomycota; Leotiomycetes; Helotiales.